AGGAAGACCCUUCCAGCGUCUUCCAUUUUGUUCCAUCGCCUUUCUGCUUCUCUUCCUCUCUCUUUCUCUCCCUCUCUUGCCUCAAAUCCAAUCCGAUCAUCUAAAAACGUACUCUCUCUAUUUCUCUCCGCCGUUUUCCAGGAACCAAUCAUGCGUUUCAGGAAACGUUGUUGUUCAAAUUUUAGGGUUUUUGUAUAGAAGCUUGCAAGCCCUCUCGAACCAGAAGUACUGGGAUGAGAAUUAGAGUGAUUUGAAAUCGGAGAACAAGGAAUUGCAGGAGGGUAGUGAUAAUGAUAAUGGUGGUGUUCUGGUUUUUCAUUCCUUCUCAUCACUUCUACAAGAGUCUGAUUAUAUAGGAUUAGCAAGCGCCAUGACGUCGAGAACUUUGAGGAAACGGCUUCAUCAGGAGGAAAAAGAUAAGAGAAUUUGGAGACGGCGGAGCCGGAUGAUCUUAAUGUGCCUCUAUGUGGGAAUUAUUCAGAUAGGCAUACAGAGGAGUGAUGUCAUUGAAAUAGAAACACCGUGCCAAGGGGAAGGGAGAAUUGGCACUAGAUGUGAUUGGAUACUUAAUGACUAUGCCAUCAGUGAAGUCAUUGGAAGAGUGACAAGGCCAAAGGAUUGUGAGAUGUUAGUUCCAUGACAAAAUUGGUUUCGAAGAAUUUUAGUGUGCGAUCUUGAAGCAUGCUCAAUGGCCUUAAAGGUAAUCAGCCUGUUGAAUCUCGCUUGCUUGCACAGUUGAUCACCUACUUUGUUUCAUAUGGAGGUACAUUCCUGUAACAAUCAGUAGUUUAUUUAAAAAAUUAUAAUUUAUUGCUUUUUCCAUAUAUGUUUGCCGCUUAAAUUAAGUUUUUGCUAACCCUUCUCUUCCGAGGAACUGGUUAUUACUGACGUACAUCUUCAAUGUCUGCUUUUCACCUGGUCUUAAUACAUGAUUAACUACUUCCUUACCCAUAAAUGGAUUUAGUUGGACAUCCAAAGGUAUUAUCAAAGAUGUUGCAACCAAAAUUGUUAAAUCUAUCUAUCCAACAUUCUUAUUAUUAGUUCGAUAGGUUAAACAAUUGUACAAUUCAUAUUAUCUUCUUCUCCUCAAUCAAAGGAUACUGGCGAAAUAUAUCUAUGAUUAAAACAUGUAGAUUCAUACUUUUGGAUGUCCAUCUUAAGUCCUUAAAUGAAUAACUAGGUAGUUUACAAUCUAUUUACAACAGGUGAAAAGAAGAAACUGUUUGUUUAUAUAUUGGUAACAAUCAGUUCAUCUGAAGAGAAAACAUGGACAUGAUGAUGCUGCUAAAAAUCAAACCACAAACAACUCACGGAUUCAUAUCUCUGUAUACCACAAAGACACUAAAUAAGGCAUAUAUGAUCCAUCUCUGAACAUCAUUUGUUGCUAUUUUUACAAUUUAAAAAAAAAAUAUGAUUCACUUGCAUCGCUUUCUACAACAUGUUUCACAUUUUCAGUUCAUUGUAAAUAGUGCUACUUACUUUGGUUACUUUUCUGUUACAUUUAUAUCCCUCUACAUUUUUUUCUGCGUUGAAACACCUUUAAACCAAUGUUGAACAAUGAUGGCUCCUCUAAAACCUAACUCCUUACGUUGCCUGACCAAGAUUUUGCCCUAAUUUCCUAAUGAUAAUUUUCUUUUUUUCGUUAUUUCUCGUUUUUAACCGAUAGGUCUUUCUAUGAACUUGCUGUGUACAAAUUUUUUUUUUUCCUUCUCUACACACUAUGGAUUUCUCUCAUUUAAUUACAGUAUCAUGUGAUUACAACUUUCCUGUAGUUUUUAAAAUCUCUGACAAUAAAUUUAUGUCACUAUUGACAUUCUACAUCUCUCUCGCUUCCAAAAAUAACAAGGUAUGUUACCACUCCUCAUUAUGUGCAUAUCUGUGAUGUCGAUAAUUUUAACAAACAUCCAUUAUGUCACCUGUAUCUAGCUAAAAAAUGAACAUACUUUAACCAGCUCAUUUCCACGUUCAUUCGUUUAAUUAAAAUGUUGUUUCAUAACAGGUUUGACCCCAAUUUUUUCAUUGUGUUAUAACAAUGUGAUUCUAGCUUGCACAAACUACGAGGAAGAAGCUAAUGGACGCAAAAGAGGCAGCAAAGCUGCCAGCGAAAAAGGAAUAAAAAAAGGAAAGAAGGAGAAUAGAAAAAUAGGAAAGAGAGAAACACUGACGGAAAGAAGAAAAAGGAAAUAUAAGAGGACAGAGGCGCGGGAGAAAAGCAGCUUAGCUGCCUUGCGGAGAGAGAAGCACAAGGCAGAGGGGAAUAAAGACUAGCAGAAGUCAAGGGCAGAGAGAGAGGCCGGGAAGGCAGAGCAGAAAAAGAAAACAGAAAAAAAAAAAAGAAAUAGGAGAGAGCAGACGUGAGGGCAGACUGACAGAAGAAAGAAGACAGGCGUGACGGGAAAAGCAAGAAAAUAGAGGGAGAAGAGAGAGCAGACGGCAGAGACCACAGAAAACUGUGCGGGGAAA
Non-coding RNA from Malus domestica (apple), 2463 nucleotides. The record is from RefSeq and is a predicted model, not a curated record. NCBI's taxonomy places the organism in Eukaryota, Viridiplantae, Streptophyta, Magnoliopsida, Rosales, Rosaceae.